AGUGGCGGACGGGUGAGUAACGCGUGGGUAACCUGCCCUAUACAGGGGGAUAACAGUUAGAAAUGACUGCUAAUACCGCAUAAGCGCACAGAACCGCAUGGUUCGGUGUGAAAAACUGAGGUGGUAUAGGAUGGACCCGCGUCUGAUUAGCUUGUUGGUGGGGUAACGGCUCACCAAGGCGACGAUCAGUAGCCGGCCUGAGAGGGCGACCGGCCACAUUGGGACUGAGACACGGCCCAAACUCCUACGGGAGGCAGCAG
RNAcentral lists this ribosomal RNA (260 nucleotides) under uncultured bacterium. Its description in RNAcentral is "partial 16S ribosomal RNA". It matches the Rfam family "Bacterial small subunit ribosomal RNA", at positions 94 to 354 of the family's 1533-position model. The record is from RNAcentral.